RNAcentral lists this ribosomal RNA (497 nucleotides) under uncultured bacterium. Its description in RNAcentral is "partial 16S ribosomal RNA". It matches the Rfam family "Bacterial small subunit ribosomal RNA", at positions 28 to 507 of the family's 1533-position model. The record is from RNAcentral.
GAUGAACGCUGGCGGCGUGCCUAAUACAUGCAAGUAGAACGCUGAAGGAAGGAGCUUGCUCUUUCCGGAUGAGUUGCGAACGGGUGAGUAACGCGUAGGUAACCUGCCUGGUAGCGGGGGAUAACUAUUGGAAACGAUAGCUAAUACCGCAUAACAGUAGAUGUUGCAUGACAACUAUUUGAAAGGGGCAAUUGCUCCACUACCAGAUGGACCUGCGUUGUAUUAGCUAGUUGGUGAGGUAACGGCUCACCAAGGCGACGAUACAUAGCCGACCUGAGAGGGUGAUCGGCCACACUGGGACUGAGACACGGCCCAGACUCCUACGGGAGGCAGCAGUAGGGAAUCUUCGGCAAUGGACGGAAGUCUAACCGAGCAACGCCGCGUGAGUGAAGAAGGUUUUCGGAUCGUAAAGCUCUGUUGUAAGAGAAGAACGAGUGUGAGAGUGGAAAGUUCACACUGUGACGGUAUCUUACCAGAAAGGGACGGCUAACUACGUG